Molecule: ribosomal RNA, 254 nt
Filed under: uncultured bacterium
Lineage: Bacteria
Description: partial 16S ribosomal RNA
Rfam family: Bacterial small subunit ribosomal RNA
Source: RNAcentral
UACGAAGGGGGCGAGCGUUGUUCGGAUUUACUGGGCGUAAAGGGCGCGUAGGCGGCCCGUUUUUGUCAGGCGUGAAAGCCCUGGGCUCAACCUGGGAACUGCGCUUGGGACGGAUGGGCUUGAGAUCGGGAGAGGAGAGUGGAAUUCCCAGUGUAGCAGUGAAAUGCGCAGAUAUCAGGAGGAACACCAAUGGCGAAGGCAGCUCACUGGGACGGUAUUGACGCUGAGACGCGAAAGCGUGGGGAGCAAACAGG